CUAUUAAAUUGAUAAGUUAACUAACAACACAUGAUAAAUACAAAGAUAUAGAAAAAUAUUUGGGUAAUUCGGGUACCUGGGGAUAUUACUUGAAUUACCUAAACUAAUUUCGGGUAAUCAAAAUCGCUAUCCGAAUUUAGGAUCGGGUAGCUCGGUCGGAUAAUUUGGAUCCGGGUCCGGGUAAUUCGGGUACGGUAAUGGGUAUCGGGUAAUUUCCGCAGACUUUAGGUUCUCCGCCCUCGCGCGCUCCUCUACCAUGGCCGGCGGCGUCGCCUCCGCCUCCGCGUCCCUCCCCGACGUGCCCAAGUCGGCGCCGGCCCCGGAGGAGGCAAGCAGAAUCAGCUCCGCGUGGAGCUGUUCAACUACGGCCCCAGAUCUGCGUAGACUAACGGUGGUGGCCAAGAUGAUAAAGAUAUCUGAAAGAGGCAUUUUCAGCAACUUGUCAAUUCUUCAAUGACCUGUUUGUGAGCUGUCACCCUACUUCAGUGUUUGUGGUGAGAGUGUGCCAUUGGUGGAAUUGGUGUCUGCUGGUCCACAUUUUAGGCAGAUUUUGGUAUAGAGCAGUCGCCUGAAAUCUCUGUUAGCUUCAGGCGCUGUUGAUGGAGCUUGAAGAUCUGUGCACUCUGUUGGGUUUGUAUUGAAAACGAACGUGAUCCACUGGAAGCCAGACCUGCCAACACGAAUGGACCGGGCAUUUCAGAAUUUCUCGAGCUUGUCGCAGGACGGCGACGGCGACUCUUGUAGCAAACUCCGUGCUCCUCCCAAUUGAGCUGCGUUGGAGCCUCCACGUCGUUGAUUCAGAGGCUCGAUCGCCUCCGCCAUUCCUUGAGUCGGCACCUACCUGCGUUCGCUGCAUGUUCCGUUGAGUACAUUCUGAGUGUAGGUGAAGGACAAGUUGCCCAGUGCAUCAGCGGAUCCAUAGCUAUGGAUGUCCCAACACCUUGUGGUCCCCUCUGGUAAUCUAUGCAUCACUAAGCUCCUUAUCCUGGCUCUCGUGAUUGUUAAUCUUUGUGCAUAACAUUUAGCAGCUUGUUUUUAGUAGUUUCUUGUGAUUUGUGCUGACACACCUAUUCCUUUGUUUAUUGUGAUUUGUGCAAGUCCACACCAAAUUUUUGUCCUUUUCCUUUCCUAGAAAAAAAUGUUUCUUGUGAUUUGUGGUAACACAUUUUUUGCUUUGUUUAUUGUGAUUUGUGCAAGCCCACACCAAAUUUUUGUUCUUGUCUUUUCAUAGAAAAAAAUUGUUAUUUAUGAUUUGUGCCAACACAUUUAAGCUAUUUGUCUUUGUCAUAGUAUAGAAAAAAGAUUGUAAUUUGUUACAUGUGAUUUUUGCCAGCACAGACAACAUUUUUGUCCUUGUCUUUCCAUAGAAAAAAUUGUUAUUUGUGAUUUGUGCCAACAUAUUUUUGUUAUUUGUCUUUGUCAUACUACAAAAAAAAUUGUAAUCUAUUUAUUGUGAAAAUGUAAUCAUUUACAGCUGCAUGGUGGGCUCCAAAACUGUAACACCAUAAAUUUUGCUUCUUUGAAAAUAGAGCUAAAAUAAUUUAUUUGGUAUUUCUGUGCUCAUGAAAAUAUAGUAAAAUAAAAUUUUUCCUUAAAUUAAAAUUUAUUAUAGGGUUUAGCAACGUUGUUGUGCAUACAUGCUGGUACAUAUGUUUUAUGUGAUGAUAUAAUAGAAAAAUAAUCUUUCGAAGGACGUAAUUUUCUCCUUCCUAAACCAGACGUUGGCUUUCCUUCUUGUGCUUUUCCUUGGAUCACGACUGUAAAUAUCAAAGCUACUCCACGCAUCUUCUUUUAAACCCUUAAAUACUCUAAUCGAAUCCAUCAGUACCCAACGCAAUCCGCCGCCGCCGCCGCUGAGUUAUUCGUCGAUCUGCCAUUGGAGUGUUCUCUGCUCAUGCAUAAAAGCCAAGCCUCUACGUUGUUUUCCUGGUCAAGAAUCGUAUCUUCUUGCUCCCCGCACAGAAACGUGCAGCGCCCAAGCCCUAACUAGCCAACACGCACUAAGCGCCGUUCAAAUCCCCGCCGCCGCCGGCUCGCUUCGCAUUGUCGUCCCCAGGAGAAGUUUUGCCAAGCAGGCACGGAGUUGAUCUUGAUCCAUGGUUUAUCCUCAUCUACUCACCAUGGGAGUUUAUUGCUCAAGUGAAGAUGUGUGGCCGCCUCAAUUUUGUGGCACCGUCAGGUUCGCGUGGAGUUGCCAUCCACCGUCGGAGUGUGCAAAGCCGAGCGGCCGUGGUCAUCUUGUCUACCUUCGGCUGUAAACGCUUUCAACAAUCAACACCCAGCCUUGUCCUCCACUGUGGUCGUUCAUGCUGAAGCAAGGUGAUGCCCCUGAAGCAUCGUCGAGACACCUGCCGCUGCCACUGGCUAACUAGAAACAACACGUCCAGCAAUCUUUUCUCUAAUGAAGCCGAAGAAAGCCGGUGCUAUCUGCUGUACUGUACACAAGCAAAGCAAGUUCGUCUUUCACCUGCUAUUCUGAAAACAAAGGCCAUGCAUACAUAUACGCGAGCAAGUAAAUCCCCUCAUGCUGCAGCAGAAGUAAUUGCCAUUAUUGGAAGAAUUUAUCCUCUACUUUUGCUUUCUUGUAUACGAGAACCGUUUAUGGGUGAUGAUGAUCAGAAGAUGAUGACCGAAGGCUCAUGGUGUGAGAAUUGAGCAAUUGGAUUAAGGCAAGUAUAGCAUUUGGAUUUUAUUUCUGUGACCAUGAUCCUGUGACUAGAUUAAUGUUAAGUAAUAGACGAUAAAAAUGACUUUUUAGCAACUUGAUGAU
Molecule: long non-coding RNA, 2770 nt
Organism: Sorghum bicolor (sorghum)
Lineage: Eukaryota; Viridiplantae; Streptophyta; Magnoliopsida; Poales; Poaceae
Exons: 6
Source: RefSeq, a predicted model, not a curated record